Molecule: ribosomal RNA, 494 nt
Filed under: uncultured bacterium
Lineage: Bacteria
Description: partial 16S ribosomal RNA
Rfam family: Bacterial small subunit ribosomal RNA
Source: RNAcentral
GACGAACGCUGGCGGCGCGCUUAACACAUGCAAGUCGAACGGAAAGGCCUGCUUUCCCUUGUGGAUUGCGGGUACUCGAGUGGCGAACGGGUGAGUAACACGUGAGUGAUCUGCCCCCAACUUGGGUAUAAGCCUGGGAAACUGGGUCUAAUUCCCGAUAGGACUGCAGGGUGGUGCCUGUGGUGGAAAACGAUUUUCUAGUGGUUGGGGAUGAGCUCGCGGCCUAUCAGCUUGUUGGUGGGGUAAUGGCCUACCAAGGCGGCGACGGGUAGCCGGCCUGGGAGGGUGGACGGCCGCAUUGGGACUGAGAUACGGCCCAGACUCCUACGGGAGGCAGCAGUGGGGAAUAUUGCACAAUGGGCGGAAGCCUGAUGCAGCGACGCCGCGUGGGGGAUGACGGCCUUCGGGUUGAAAACUCCUUUCGACCGCGAGGAAGCCACCUGGUUGGAAGGGUGGUGACGGUAGUGGUAGAAGAAGCACCGGCUAACUACGUG